UCGACCCCUAAGGUGAGGCCGAAAGGCGUAAUCGAUGGGAAACGGGUUAAUAUUCCCGUACUUCUGACUAUUGCGAUGGGGGGACGGAGAAGGCUAGGUGGGCCAGGCGACGGUUGUCCUGGUUCAAGUGCGUAGGCUUGAGAGUUAGGUAAAUCCGGCUCUCUCUAAGGCUGAGACACGACGUCGAGCUACUACGGUAGUGAAGUCAUUGAUGCCAUGCUUCCAGGAAAAGCCUCUAAGCUUCAGAUAGUCAGGAAUCGUACCCCAAACCGACACAGGUGGUCGGGUAGAGAAUACCAAGGCGCUUGAGAGAACUCGGGUGAAGGAACUAGGCAAAAUGGUACCGUAACUUCGGGAGAAGGUACGCUCUUGAUGGUGAAGUCCCUCGCGGAUGGAGCUGACGAGAGUCGCAGAUACCAGGUGGCUGCAACUGUUUAUUAAAAACACAGCACUGUGCAAAAUCGCAAGAUGACGUAUACGGUGUGACGCCUGCCCGGUGCCGGAAGGUUAAUUGAUGGGGUUAGCGCAAGCGAAGCUCUUGAUCGAAGCCCCGGUAAACGGCGGCCGUAACUAUAACGGUCCUAAGGUAGCGAAAUUCCUUGUCGGGUAAGUUCCGACCUGCACGAAUGGCGUAAUGAUGGCCACGCUGUCUCCACCCGAGACUCAGUGAAAUUGAAAUCGCUGUGAAGAUGCAGUGUACCCGCGGCUAGACGGAAAGACCCCGUGAACCUUUACUACAGCUUGGCACUGAACAUUGAACCUACAUGUGUAGGAUAGGUGGGAGGCUAUGAAGACGUGACGCCAGUUGCGUUGGAGCCGUCCUUGAAAUACCACCCUUGUAUGUUUGAUGUUCUAACUUAGACCCAUUAUCUGGGUUGAGGACAGUGCCUGGUGGGUAGUUUGACUGGGGCGGUCUCCUCCCAAAGAGUAACGGAGGAGCACGAAGGUGGGCUAAUCACGGUUGGACAUCGUGAGGUUAGUGCAAUGGCAUAAGCCCGCUUAACUGCGAGAAUGACGGUUCGAGCAGGUGCGAAAGCAGGUCAUAGUGAUCCGGUGGUUCUGUAUGGAAGGGCCAUCGCUCAACGGAUAAAAGGUACUCCGGGGAUAACAGGCUGAUACCGCCCAAGAGUUCAUAUCGACGGCGGUGUUUGGCACCUCGAUGUCGGCUCAUCACAUCCUGGGGCUGAAGUCGGUCCCAAGGGUAUGGCUGUUCGCCAUUUAAAGUGGUACGCGAGCUGGGUUUAGAACGUCGUGAGACAGUUCGGUCCCUAUCUGCCGUGGGCGUUGGAAGAUUGAAGGGGGCUGCUCCUAGUACGAGAGGACCGGAGUGGACGAACCUCUGGUGUUCGGGUUGUGUCGCCAGACGCAUUGCCCGGUAGCUAAGUUCGGAAUUGAUAAGCGCUGAAAGCAUCUAAGCGCGAAGCGAGCCCUGAGAUGAGUCUUCCCUGACAGUUUAACUGUCCUAAAGGGUUGUUCGAGACUAGAACGUUGAUAGGCAGGGUGUGUAAGCGUUGUGAGGCGUUGAGCUAACCUGUACUAAUUGCCCGUGAGGCUUAACCAUACAACACCCAAGGGGUUUUGUA
RNAcentral lists this ribosomal RNA (1583 nucleotides) under Vibrio cholerae. RNAcentral describes it as "bacterial LSU rRNA". It matches the Rfam family "Bacterial large subunit ribosomal RNA", at positions 1384 to 2925 of the family's 2925-position model. The record is from RNAcentral. Lineage: Bacteria; Pseudomonadati; Pseudomonadota; Gammaproteobacteria; Vibrionales; Vibrionaceae.